UACGUAGGGUGCAAGCGUUGUCCGGAAUUAUUGGGUUUAAAGGGUCCGUAGGCGGAUCUGUAAGUCAGUGGUGAAAUCUCACAGCUUAACUGUGAAACUGCCAUUGAUACUGCAGGUCUUGAGUGUUAUUGAAGUAGCUGGAAUAAGUAGUGUAGCGGUGAAAUGCAUAGAUAUUACUUAGAACACCAAUUGCGAAGGCAGGUUACUAAGCAACAACUGACGCUGAUGGACGAAAGCGUGGGGAGCGAACAGG
Molecule: ribosomal RNA, 253 nt
Filed under: uncultured bacterium
Lineage: Bacteria
Description: partial 16S ribosomal RNA
Rfam family: Bacterial small subunit ribosomal RNA
Source: RNAcentral